This 505-nucleotide ribosomal RNA is filed under the name uncultured Geobacter sp. Its description in RNAcentral is "bacterial SSU rRNA". It matches the Rfam family "Bacterial small subunit ribosomal RNA", at positions 335 to 831 of the family's 1533-position model. The record is from RNAcentral. Lineage: Bacteria; Pseudomonadati; Thermodesulfobacteriota; Desulfuromonadia; Geobacterales; Geobacteraceae.
ACUCCUACGGGAGGCAGCAGUGGGGAAUUUUGCGCAAUGGGCGAAAGCCUGACGCAGCAACGCCGCGUGAGUGAUGAAGGCUUUCGGGUCGUAAAGCUCUGUCAGGGGGAAAGAAGUGUAGUGUGGUUAAUACCCAUGCUACUUGACGGUACCCCCAAAGGAAGCACCGGCUAACUCCGUGCCAGCAGCCGCGGUAAUACGGAGGGUGCAAGCGUUGUUCGGAAUUAUUGGGCGUAAAGCGCGUGUAGGCGGUUUGUUAAGUCUGAUGUGAAAGCCCCGGGCUCAACCCGGGAAGUGCAUUGGAAACUGGCAGACUUGAAUACGGGAGAGGGUAGUGGAAUUCCUAGUGUAGGAGUGAAAUCCGUAGAUAUUAGGAGGAACACCGGUGGCGAAGGCGGCUGCCUGGACCGAUAUUGACGCUGAGACGCGAAAGCGUGGGUAGCAAACAGGAUUAGAUACCCUGGUAGUCCACGCCGUAAACGAUGAGAACUAGGUGUCGCGGGUA